This 1078-nucleotide ribosomal RNA is filed under the name uncultured Lactobacillus sp. Its description in RNAcentral is "bacterial SSU rRNA". It matches the Rfam family "Bacterial small subunit ribosomal RNA", at positions 429 to 1493 of the family's 1533-position model. The record is from RNAcentral. Lineage: Bacteria; Bacillati; Bacillota; Bacilli; Lactobacillales; Lactobacillaceae.
UUCUGGGAUGGUGAAGGAAGAACGUGUGUAGGAGUUAUCGUUUCACGCAGUAACGUUAUUCAACCAGAAAGUCCCGGCUAAUACGUGCCAGCAGCCGCGGUAUACGUAGGUGGCAAGCGUUUUCCGGAAUUUAUGGGCGUAAAGCGAGCGCAGGCGGUUUUUCUAAGUCUGAUGUGAAAAGCCUUCGGCUUUAACCGGAGAAAGGGGCAUCGGAAACUGGAUAACUUGAGUGCAAGAGAGGGACAGUGGAACUCCAAUGUGUAGCGGUGGAAUGCGUAGAUAUAUGGAAGAACACCAGUGGCGAAGGCGGCUGUCUAGCUUGCAACUGACGCUGAGGCUCGAAAGCAUGGGUAGCGAACAGGAUUAGAUACCCUGGUAGUCCAUGCCGUAAACGAUGAGUGCUAGGUGUUGGAGGGUUUCCGCCCUUCAGUGCCGGAGCUAACGCAUUAAGCACUCCGCCUGGGGAGUACGACCGCAAGGUUGAAACUCAAAGGAAUUGACGGGGGCCCGCACAAGCGGUGGAGCAUGUGGUUUAAUUCGAAGCUACGCGAAGAACCUUACCAGGUCUUGACAUCUUGCGCCAACCUCAGAGAUGAGGCGUUCCCUUCGGGGACGCAAUGACAGGUGGUGCAUGGUCGUCGUCAGCUCGUGUCGUGAGAUGUUGGGUUAAGUCCCGCAACGAGCGCAACCCUUGUUACUAGUUGCCAGCAUUCAGUUGGGCACUCUAGUGAGACUGCCGGUGACAAACCGGAGGAAGGUGGGGACGACGUCAGAUCAUCAUGCCCCUUAUGACCUGGGCUACACACGUGCUACAAUGGACGGUACAACGAGCAGCGAACUCGCAAGGGCCAGCUAAUCUCUUAAAACCGUUCUCAGUUCGGACUGCAGUCUGCAACUCGACUGCACGAAGUCGGAAUCGCUAGUAAUCGCGGAUCAGCAUGCCGCGGUGAAUACGUUCCCGGGCCUUGUACACACCGCCCGUCACACCAUGGGAGUUUGCAAUGCCCAAAGCCGGUGGCCUAACCUUCGGGAAGGAGCCGUCUAAGGCAGGGCAGAUGACUGGGGUGAAGUCGUAACA